This 84-nucleotide non-coding RNA is filed under the name Heyndrickxia ginsengihumi. Its description in RNAcentral is "Bacillus ginsengihumi c-di-GMP sequence". It matches the Rfam family "c-di-GMP-I riboswitch aptamer". Rfam says of the family: GEMM was predicted in a large-scale screen for bacterial structured RNA regulatory elements. Genes associated with GEMM are involved in a diverse array of functions, including chemotaxis regulation, signal transduction, secretion and chitin. The record is from Rfam by way of RNAcentral. Lineage: Bacteria; Bacillati; Bacillota; Bacilli; Caryophanales; Bacillaceae.
AUCUGAUAAAGGCAAACCUAUUGAAAAGUGGGGACGCAAAGUCUCGGGUCUAAGGUAACAUACUAUGAUGGCUGGACUACCGGG